CAGCCGCCGCGGUAAUACGUAGGUGGCAAGCGUUGUCCGGAAUCAUUGGGCGUAAAGCGCGCGCAGGCGGUCCUUUAAGUCUGAUGUGAAAUCUUGCGGCUUAACCGCAAGCGGUCAUUGGAAACUGGAGGACUUGAGUGCAGAAGAGGAAAGCGGAAUUCCAUGUGUAGCGGUGAAAUGCGUAGAGAUAUGGAGGAACACCAGUGGCGAAGGCGGCUUUCUGGUCUGCAACUGACGCUGAGGCGCGAAAGCGUGGGGAGCAAACAGGAUUAGAUACCCUGGUAGUCCACGCCGUAAACGAUGAGUGCUAGGUGUUGGAGGGUUUCCGCCCUUCAGUGCUGCAGCUAACGCAUUAAGCACUCCGCCUGGGGAGUACGGCCGCAAGGCUGAAACUUAAAGGAAUUGGCGGG
Molecule: ribosomal RNA, 410 nt
Filed under: uncultured microorganism
Description: bacterial SSU rRNA
Rfam family: Bacterial small subunit ribosomal RNA
Source: RNAcentral